RNAcentral lists this ribosomal RNA (346 nucleotides) under uncultured eukaryote. RNAcentral's name for it is "SSU rRNA". It matches the Rfam family "Eukaryotic small subunit ribosomal RNA", at positions 594 to 945 of the family's 1831-position model. The record is from RNAcentral.
AUAGCGUAUAUUAAAGUUGUUGAGGUUAAAAAGCUCGUAGUUGAACCUUGGCCCUGGCUGGCCGGUCCGCCUCACCGCGAGCACUGGUCCGGCCGGGGCUUUCCCUCUGGGGACCCUCAUGCCCUUCACUGGGUGUGUUGGAGAACCAGGACUUUUACUGUGAACAAAUCAGAUCGUUCAAAGAAGGCUCUCGCUUGAAUGCUUUAGCAUGGAAUAAUAAAAUAGGACGUGCGUUUCUAUUUUGUUGGUUUCUAGAGCCGCCGUAAUGAUUAAUAGGGACAGUCGGGGGCAUCAGUAUUCAAUUGUCAGAGGUGAAAUUCUUGGAUCAAUUGAAGACUAACUACUG